CUGUCAAGGCAUAUUAUUUGAACAUUGAAAUCAUCAAUAGGGUGUUCAAUGACACUCUGCUGGAUACCAGUUCAAAGGACUACAUCCAGAUGAGAAGCGAAGUCACUGCAUUGCUUAACAAUAUCUAUAAUUGCUCAACAUGUUCUACAAACACAUUCUAUGGUGGUGCUCCGCAAAUGACCUUCAGCAAAGGAUCAGUAAUAGCCAAAUGCACUCUAGUGUUUUACACAGCAUAUAUCAAUCAAUAUGUCGUGAAGUUUUUGUUUUUAAAGAGUUUAGGAGACAGCCCCCCAGCAGGUCUCCAAAUAAAUGCAACUUAUACACAG
This is a long non-coding RNA of Osmerus eperlanus (European smelt), 326 nucleotides long. RefSeq lists it as uncharacterized. Lineage: Eukaryota; Metazoa; Chordata; Actinopteri; Osmeriformes; Osmeridae. The transcript has 3 exons. The record is from RefSeq and is a predicted model, not a curated record.